CUCACAUAUUCUUAUACAUCCUCUAUAUUUUCCAUAUUCACUUACAUACAGGGGAACACACAGAAAUUCACAGCAACACACACCAAUAUCCGCUCUCAUUCUUUUCUAUAUCACACACACUUACAAAUUAGAUAAAAGAGACAUAAUUCCAUACGCACCACACACAGAGAAUACCCACACACAUUAGACAAAACCAAAAAAGAUCGAAGAAAAAUGCAUACAUAUGCUCUCACUGGAAAACACACACACACACGCAGUGAGGAAAGAUCGCCUAAAUAGAACGGUUUUGAGAGAAAAAAAUGGAUGAGGGAGAGAGAAACAGAUGGGAAUUGACUUUUCCAAUGAUUUUUUCAUCAGAAACACUACCAUCGUACAAACUGCUCUAUUUUCUUUGAUUCCCAUUGUCAUCGAGGUCGUUGAAGCUUCGAUGAAGUAAAAAACAGCAAACCCCAUUGCUAUUCUAACCAAAUCGGUUUAGCCUAACACACCGUUGUCUAAUUCUGGCAAAAAUCCAUCGAAAACGAGUAAAACAAGGUCGGGUUUGCAUGAAUCUAGUAUGGUCACUUGUCGAGGUGCAAUUUUCAAUUCGGUUUAGCAAAAAAAUAGAGCAAAAAAAGGUAGAUCGAGGUUUAUUCCAUCAUUGUCAAAUCUGUCUGGGUUGUCCAUCUUGACUCGAGUUGGUUCGUUCACUUGUUGAGGCUUGUUCGAGGUUUCGGGCGCGAUUUCCCUCUCAAUAGAUUGAGUAAUACUAAAUUGAAAGCAACGUUAAGAUCUUGAUCUUGCUGAUUCUUUGUCGGCAUAUCCACCUUCAAGGAUUUAUCUAUUUUUGAAACAGUUGACAAAAUUGCCUCCUUGGAAAAAAAAAAGGUGAUCCUAGUUCGAGUGCAUUUACAGUCGUGAUUCUUCAUGCAACUUUAGAGUCUUUCGAAGCCAAAGUGAGUUCCUCGUUCGGAGUUUGUAACCAUAUUCAUCUAGUUCUUAUGUCUUUACUUUACAAUGUUCUUUAUUCAUGAUAUAAGAUCUUCGGGGUUUGGGAGUUAUAUUAUUCAGGUAUUUGCUAUGUUAUUGUAUUAGAUCGACGUUAUCCCAAAUUCUUGUAUUUUGUUUUAUUACAUAUAUCUCUUUUCGUACUCA
Long non-coding RNA from Capsicum annuum, 1134 nucleotides. RefSeq lists it as uncharacterized. The transcript is spliced from 3 exons. Lineage: Eukaryota; Viridiplantae; Streptophyta; Magnoliopsida; Solanales; Solanaceae. The record is from RefSeq and is a predicted model, not a curated record.